This 636-nucleotide ribosomal RNA is filed under the name uncultured bacterium. Its description in RNAcentral is "bacterial SSU rRNA". It matches the Rfam family "Bacterial small subunit ribosomal RNA", at positions 72 to 743 of the family's 1533-position model. The record is from RNAcentral.
UUACAUCAAGAGUAAAUUUAGCGGCGAACGAGUUAGUAAUACCUUGGAACGUACCCGAAAGUCGGAGAUAACUAGCCGAAAGGUUAGCUAAUACCCGAUAGUCUCGCAAGAGUAAAGAUGCAAAUCACUUUCGGAGCGGCCUAGGUCCUAUCAGCUAGUUGGUGUGGUAAUGGCUCACCAAGGCUAUGACGGGUAGGGGGCGUGAGAGCGUGGCCCCCAACGAGGGAACUGAGACACGGUCCUUACACCUACGGGUGGCUGCAGUCGAGAAUAUUCGACAAUGGGCGAAAGCCUGAUCGAGCGACGCCGCGUGCAGGAAGAAGCCCUUUGGGGCGUAAACUGCUUUUGCGUGGGAAGAAUUUUGACGGUACCACGAGAAUAAGGGGUUGCUAACCUCGUGCCAGCAGCAGCGGUAAUACGAGGACCCCGAGCGUUAUCCGGAUUUACUGGGCGUAAAGAGUGAAUAGUCGGUUGUGCUAGUCGAAUGUUAAAUCUUAGGGCUUAACCCUGAAACCGCAUUCGAAACGGCACGACUAGAGUUGGUAAGAGGCAAGCGGAACGUGAAGUGUAGGGGUGAAAUCCAUUGAUAUUUCACGGAACACCAAAAGCGAAGGCAGCUUGCUGGUGCCAUACUAA